ACACACAAAGCACAUGCAAUGAAAGUAGCAAGGAAAGUUUGCAGCGUGUGGGAUACACUCAGACAGCAAUGUUACAAUAAUUAUUAAUGAAACAAUGAUAAGCUCUCUUUUUGUUGUCUGGGAGGAUCAGUGCUGAGCUAGAGUCCCGAGAACAGGCCGGAAUUGCUGGAUUGUGCUGCCACCUAGCGUACAGUAGGCGAGCACAGGCUACAUGAGAGCAGCCUGCUCCCAGCAUGGGGAUCAAGCAGGAUAAUACACCUUGCAGCAGUGCCAGGGAUGAGCUCAAACUUUCUCUCUCCUCCUCAGUGGCUGUGAGUGUGAGUGUGAGCUGAUCCUGCUAACUUCCAUUCACAACACCUUAUACUGAGAUUUGCUGGCAGGCAGCAGAAUUUACCAAGUGAUAAAGGAGCUGAGGAUGCAAUUAUUUGUGUCUCUCCCAGCUCUUCUCUAAGCUGUAACUAUGAAAAGAAGGAGCAAGGCUUUUUUUUUUCUGGAGCCCCUCUCUCAGUGUAGGGGGUGGUGGGGGGAAGGGGCACUGAAUCCAUUAGAGAGAGUUUCUGAUAAUUUCCAACCGAAUAGUUGAGGGUUAUUUCUUCCCCUAAAUAAUGGGAUUUUCAAUGGGUUCAUGGUCCUAUUGUACAGGGUCUGAUCAGAAGGAUGUUAUUGACUAUGCAACAGUGGGCUGCAUUGCUCCCUCUCAUCUCUGCAAAUAAACUCUUCCCCCUGCCUGCUGGUCAGAGAGAAGGUGCUGGCAGAAAGAGAUCUCCCUGUGCAACAUAUAGACGGUGCAGUAAUGGGAGACCCGGGGAAACAGAGGUUGGACGAGUUCCGGAGCUCCCUCUUCCAUUUCCAGCUUCCAGCAAAGGCUGCACAUCCCAGGGAUCUGACACUGAGAUCUACAAGUCUUUGAUAUGGAUGUAUUCUCCUCCAUUUCCGGAAAAUAAAUUCCAAAAUCUAUGUACGGCGUCGGGGGCCAAGCUGGAACUGCCGGGACUUGGACAGCGCGGGGCACGGUGGCGGGCUUCUUCUUUAGUAUUUAGAUUUAAAUAGGCAGAGGAGAUCUUUGCAGGAACUCGAAUGCUGCUUAUGAGUGUGCGAUUGGUGCAACGGAUAGACAGAUGCUACCUUCCAUAGCACUUUUAUACCCGCCAAACCUGCACAGCGUCUACCUUCUGAGAUGCAUGGAUUGAGAUCUUAAACAACGAAAAUUUAUUUUUAAUCAUUCAUCUCAGCCUAAUCCCCAUCCGCAUACUAUGGCCAAAAGAAAUCGAGAAGUUAGUAAUGAAGUAGAGUUUUAUGAGUUAAUUUAUUUGAGUUUUUAGAGCCACCAUGGGGGAUAAAUAGAGACUGCGAUGACUGACACACAAACCUCUGAGGAAACCGCUACCCAUUGAGGUGGAGAAACGUGUCAGCUGAUCAAAAACAUCAGGUGGAACGCACUGGAAGCUCCAAAAAACUGGAAGUCGCAGUACGCAACUAAGCAAGCACUCCCUGCCUUCCCCUCCAUGCUGCUUGCGUACUACAGCUCAGCUGGACACACCGAACCGCCUCUGUGCGGGAGAUACAGUGGGGUAAGCAUUGCCUCUAUGGACUGAGUAUUGGGAACGGACUGACUGCAUGGUCCACUCAGCGCUGCCGUUACCAUCAGCUGCUAGCAUCACCAACUAAGCAACAAACUGGUGAUUCAAAAAGGGCUGUGAUUUCACCUCCAUUUCUCAAUUGAGAGCACAUGGCAGUCUAAAGGAAACCAGGACUGAAGGCGCUUUACAGACAUCAAAAACAAUGCACAUAAUACAGAAGAUUUAAGUAAUACAGCAAUAGACAAGCCACACAGACAUAAAAGAAAACCUUUAGCACACAGUAAGCAUAAUGCAGGAUUGUUGUAGGCAUUUUGGGUAAUAACUUUCAAGGGUUGUGUAUUCCACCCUCAUAAGGUACCAGGUGAGGCAGCCAUCUUGGACACACUGCAUAGGAUUACCCAGGGUGGAAUAGUCCACCCCUAGAAGAGAGAACACAAAAUGGGGAGAUUGCAGUUCAGAGUAGGGUCCCAACAAAACCAGAUGAGGCAGCCAUGUUGGGCUCACUAUGAAGGUUACACUGUGGGAGUUGAGCCAUACAAGGGCCCAGUGCAUUUAUGGGAAAACUGACACAUGUGUAGUAGUAUGAUGUACCCUGUAUGUAGAUCACACUGGCAGGGCAUGCAAUCAGUGGAGGUACACAUUACAGGAAAAGCACACUGUGAGGUGGAAGAGUAAAAAAAAAAGGGGGGGGGGG
Long non-coding RNA from Pseudophryne corroboree (corroboree frog), 2274 nucleotides. RefSeq lists it as uncharacterized. NCBI's taxonomy places the organism in Eukaryota, Metazoa, Chordata, Amphibia, Anura, Myobatrachidae. The record is from RefSeq and is a predicted model, not a curated record. The transcript is spliced from 8 exons.